This 203-nucleotide microRNA precursor is filed under the name Oryza rufipogon (brownbeard rice). RNAcentral's name for it is "MIR812 microRNA precursor family". It matches the Rfam family "MIR812 microRNA precursor family". The record is from Rfam by way of RNAcentral. Lineage: Eukaryota; Viridiplantae; Streptophyta; Magnoliopsida; Poales; Poaceae.
UAUAAGGGAUUUUGAGUUUUUGCUUGCAACGUUUGACCACUCGUCUUAUUCAAAUUUUUUUGAAAUUAUUAUUUAUUUUAUUUGUGACUUACUUUAUUAUCUACAAUACUUUAAGCAUAACUUUUCGUUUUUUAUAUUUGCAAAAAAAAAUUGAAUAAGACGAGUGGUCAAAUGUUGUAAACAAAAACUCAAAAUCCCUUAUA